GUGCACUGUGGGCGAGCGGGCGCGGGAAUACAGUGUGCCCGAGGGUGUGGCGGAGUGACUUGGCGGAAAGGGUGCGUAGUGGUGGAGGUAAGUCGUGUGUGAAAUCUCGGAGCUCAACUCCGAAAUGGCAUUGGAAACUACCUUGCUCGAGGGUUGGAGGGGUGACUGGAAUACUUGGUGUAGCAGUGAAAUGCGUAGAUAUCAAGUGGAACACCAGUGGCGAAGGCGAGUCCCUGGACAACUCCUGACACUGAGGCACGAAAGCUAGGGGAGCAAACAGGAUUAGAUACCCCAGUAGUC
Molecule: ribosomal RNA, 300 nt
Filed under: uncultured Ferroglobus sp.
Lineage: Archaea; Methanobacteriati; Methanobacteriota; Archaeoglobi; Archaeoglobales; Archaeoglobaceae
Description: bacterial SSU rRNA
Rfam family: Bacterial small subunit ribosomal RNA
Source: RNAcentral